RNAcentral lists this ribosomal RNA (610 nucleotides) under uncultured Roseobacter sp. RNAcentral's name for it is "bacterial SSU rRNA". It matches the Rfam family "Bacterial small subunit ribosomal RNA", at positions 900 to 1533 of the family's 1533-position model. The record is from RNAcentral. Lineage: Bacteria; Pseudomonadati; Pseudomonadota; Alphaproteobacteria; Rhodobacterales; Roseobacteraceae.
UCCAAAGGAAUUGACGGGGGCCCGCCCAAGGCGUGGAGCAUGUGGUUUAAUUCGACCGCAACCGCGCAGAACCUUACCAACCCCUUGACAUACUUGUCGCGGAUUCCCAGAGAUGGAUUCCCUUCAGUUCCGGUUGGACCAAGUACAGUUGCUGCAUGGCUGUCGUCAGCUCGUGUCGUGAGAUGUUCGGUUAAGUCCGGCAACGAGCGCAACCCACGUCCUUAGUUACCAGCAUUUAGUUGGGUACCCUAAGGAGACUGCCGGUGAUAAGCCGGAGGAAGGUGUGGACGACGUCAAGUCAUCAUGGCCCUUACGGGUUGGGCUACACACGUGCUACAAUGGCAUCUACAGUGAGUUAAUCUCCAAAAGAUGUCUCAGUUCGGAUUGGGGUCUGCAACUCGACCCCAUGAAGUUGGAAUCGCUAGUAAUCGCGGAACAGCAUGCCGCGGUGAAUACGUUCCCGGGCCUUGUACACACCGCCCGUCACACCAUGGGAAUUGGGUCUACCCGAAGGUGGUGCGCCAACUAUUUAUAGGGGCAGCCAACCACGGUAGGUUCAGUGACUGGGGUGAAGUCGUAACAAGGUAGGCGUAAUCACUAGUGAAUUCAR